Molecule: ribosomal RNA, 497 nt
Filed under: uncultured bacterium
Lineage: Bacteria
Description: partial 16S ribosomal RNA
Rfam family: Bacterial small subunit ribosomal RNA
Source: RNAcentral
GACGAACGCUGGCGGCGUGCCUAAUACAUGCAAGUUGAGCGCUGAAGGUUGGUACUUGUACCAACUGGAUGAGCAGCGAACGGGUGAGUAACGCGUGGGGAAUCUGCCUUUGAGCGGGGGACAACAUUUGGAAACGAAUGCUAAUACCGCAUAAAAACUUUAAACGCAAGUUUUAAGUUUGAAAGAUGCAAUUGCAUCACUCAAAGAUGAUCCCGCGUUGUAUUAGCUAGUUGGUGAGGUAAAGGCUCACCAAGGCGAUGAUACAUAGCCGACCUGAGAGGGUGAUAGGCCACAUUGGGACUGAGACACGCCCCAAACUCCUACGGGAGGCAGCAGUAGGGAAUCUUCGGCAAUGGACGAGAGUCUGACCGAGCAACGCCGCGUGAGUGAAGAAGGUUUUCGGAUCGUAAAACUCUGUUGGUAGAGAAGAACGUUGGUGAGAGUGGAAAGCUCAUCAAGUGACGGUAACUAAACAGAAAGGGACGGCUAACUACGUG